UACGGGGGGGGUAAGGCGUUGUUCGGAAUUACUGGGCGUAAAGGGCUCGUAGGCGGCCAACUAAGUCAGACGUGAAAUCCCUCAGCUUAACUGGGGAACUGCGUCUGAUACUGGAUGGCUUGGAUUCGGGAGAGGAAUGCGGAAUUCCAGGUGUAGCGGUGAAAUGCGUAGAUAUCGAGAGGAACACCUGCGGCGAAGGCGGGUUGCUGGGCUGAUACUGACGCUGAGGCGCGAAAGCUAGGGGAGCGAACGGG
Molecule: ribosomal RNA, 254 nt
Filed under: uncultured bacterium
Lineage: Bacteria
Description: partial 16S ribosomal RNA
Rfam family: Bacterial small subunit ribosomal RNA
Source: RNAcentral